This 799-nucleotide long non-coding RNA is filed under the name Mustela putorius furo (domestic ferret). Its description in RNAcentral is "lncRNA (ENSMPUG00000029272.1)". The record is from RNAcentral. Lineage: Eukaryota; Metazoa; Chordata; Mammalia; Carnivora; Mustelidae.
UGGGGGGGAAUCUUAGAAGACUUCAUACAAAAUUGAUUUUGAAGAAGCUUUUUAUUUUUUAUUAUUUUUUAAAAAUUAUUUUGUUUAUUUAUUUGACAGAGAGAGACACAGCGAGAGAGGGAACACAAGCAGUGGAAGAGGGAGAAGCAGGCUUCUUGCAGAGCAGGGAGCCCAAUGUGGGGCCCGAUCCCAGGACUCUGGGAUCAUGACCUGAGCCGAAGGCAGACACUUAACGACUGAGCCCCCCAGGCACCCUCUGAAGAAGCAUUUUCACUGUAGAUGUUCCCAGCUGGAGAAGAUGGGGAAGAAAAGGAGAAUGCAAUUCUGGAAUGAAGAUGGGAUCUGAACAGAAGUGCAGAGUCAUGGGAAGACUUAAUUUACAUCAUUUGAAGAAGUUAAUGGCAGAUGGUGGAGAUAGCAAUUUCAGACCAUUCUUCUGAAGCCGUCGUUACCAAGGGGGGAGCUGGUAUAAUAUCGGCAGUAGUAAUGAGUGGACGUGAUGAGGCAAGGGGGCCACCCAGGGACGCCUGGCACAGGUACAGUGCCACCUGCAUGAAGAAAAGCCCAGUGUUUUAUGAGACAAGUACAUCAGUUAUUUCCAGGAAUGUGAACAACAUGCUGCACCAAGUAAAACAAUGUGAUUCCGUGAUUUGAAGGAAAUGAACCAGAGUGGCCAUGAGGGUGAACGUCAAGGAAGUUCCUUAGAAGAAAAUUUAUAUUUGAAAAAUUUACAUAAUAUAAAUGAAGCCCUCCCCCCCAAUUUCCAUGGUAUCUCCCUCAAAAUUGCAAGUCAGAUGAG